RNAcentral lists this ribosomal RNA (478 nucleotides) under uncultured bacterium. Its description in RNAcentral is "bacterial SSU rRNA". It matches the Rfam family "Bacterial small subunit ribosomal RNA", at positions 364 to 833 of the family's 1533-position model. The record is from RNAcentral.
UUUCGCAAUGCCCGAAAGGGUGACGGAGCGACGCCGCGUGGAGGAUGAAGGCCUUCGGGUCGUAAACUCCUGUCACACGGGAAGAAAACUGUCGGGGAUAACAUUCCUGGCACGUGACGUUACCGUGAGAGGAAGCGCCGGCAAACUUCGUGCCAGCAGCUGCGGUAAUACGAAGAGCGCGAGCGUUGUUCGGAAUCACUGGGCUUAAAGGGCACGUAGGCGGGGGGAUAAAUCAAGGGUGAAAUCCCAAUUCUCAAUGUUGGAACUGCCCUUGAAAAUGUCCUUCUUGAGUGCAGGAGGGGAGAGCGGAACUCUUGGUGGAGCGGUGAAAUGCGUAGAUAUCAAGGGGAACGCCGGCGGCGAAAGCGACUCUCUGGACUGCUACUGACGCUGAGGUGCGAAAGCCAGGGGAGCAAAAAGGAUUAGAUACCCUUGUAGUCCUAGCCGUAAACGAUGGGCACUAAGUAGAGGGGUUUUA